This 374-nucleotide ribosomal RNA is filed under the name uncultured organism. Its description in RNAcentral is "partial 16S ribosomal RNA". It matches the Rfam family "Bacterial small subunit ribosomal RNA", at positions 527 to 896 of the family's 1533-position model. The record is from RNAcentral.
GUAGGUGGCAAGCGUUGUCCGGAAUUAUUGGGCGUAAAGCGCGCGCAGGUGGUUCUUUAAGUCUGAUGUGAAAGCCCCCCGGGCUCAACCCGGGGAGGGUCAUUGGAAACUGGGGAACUUGAGUGCAGGAGAGGAAAGUGGAAUUCCACGUGUAGCGGUGAAAUGCGUAGAUAUGUGGAGGAACACCAGUGGCGAAGGCGACUUUCUGGCCUGUAACUGACACUGAGGCGCGAAAGCGUGGGGAGCAAACAGGAUUAGAUACCCUGGUAGUCCACGCCGUAAACGAUGAGUGCUAAGUGUGGGGGGUUUCCGCCCCUCAGUGCUGCAGCUAACGCAUUAAGCACUCCGCCUGGGGAGUACGGUCGCAAAGACUG